Molecule: ribosomal RNA, 468 nt
Filed under: uncultured bacterium
Lineage: Bacteria
Description: partial 16S ribosomal RNA
Rfam family: Bacterial small subunit ribosomal RNA
Source: RNAcentral
GACGAACGCUGGCGGCGUGCUUAACACAUGCAAGUCGAACGGAAAGGCCCUGCUUUUGUGGGGUGCUCGAGUGGCGAACGGGUGAGUAACACGUGAGUAACCUGCCCUUGACUUUGGGAUAACUUCAGGAAACUGGGGCUAAUACCGGAUAGGAGCUCCUGCUGCAUGGUGGGGGUUGGAAAGUUUCGGCGGUUGGGGAUGGACUCGCGGCUUAUCAGCUUGUUGGUGGGGUAGUGGCUUACCAAGGCUUUGACGGGUAGCCGGCCUGAGAGGGUGACCGGCCACAUGGGGACUGAGAUACGGACCAGAAUCCUACGGGAGGCAGCAGUGGGGAAUAUUGCACAAUGGGCGGAAGCCUGAUGCAGCAACGCCGCGUGCGGGAUGACGGCCUUCGGGUUGUAAACCGCUUUCGCCUGUGACGAAGCGUGAGUGACGGUAAUGGGUAAAGAAGCACCGGCUAACUACGUG